UACGAAGGGUGCAAGCGUUACUCGGAAUUACUGGGCGUAAAGCGUGCGUAGGUGGUGAGCUAAGUCUGUCGUGAAAGCCCCGGGCUCAACCUGGGAAUGGCGAUGGAUACUGGCUCGCUAGAGUGCGGUAGAGGAGAGUGGAAUUCCCGGUGUAGCAGUGAAAUGCGUAGAGAUCGGGAGGAACAUCAGUUGCGAAGGCGGCUCUCUGGACCAGCACUGACACUGAGGCACGAAAGCGUGGGGAGCAAACAGG
RNAcentral lists this ribosomal RNA (253 nucleotides) under uncultured bacterium. RNAcentral's name for it is "partial 16S ribosomal RNA". It matches the Rfam family "Bacterial small subunit ribosomal RNA", at positions 524 to 776 of the family's 1533-position model. The record is from RNAcentral.